GCAAGCUAGUAAGGGCUCGGGAUGGAUGCCUCGGCGGCCGGAGCCGAGGAAGGGCGUGGCAAGCUGCGAAAAGCCCCGGUGAGGCGCAAGCAGCCUAUGACCCGGGGAUGCCCGAAUGGGGAAACCCGCCGGGCCUUGUAGCCCGGCAUCCCGCCCUCGUGGCGGGAGGGGACACCGGGCGAAGCAAAACCUUUUAGUAGCCCGAGGAAAGGAAAUCAACCGAGACGCCCCGAGUAGCGGCGAGCGAAAGGGGCUCAGCCCAAACCGCGGUGGUGUCAUGGCGGCGGCCUUAGCCACCGCGGGGUUGUGGGACCUGUCCGGAGGAGUCCGCCGACUCCUCGGGGAGUUACAAAACCCCAGCCUAGCCGAAGUCCCCUGGAAUGGGGCGCCAUAGAGGGUGAAAGCCCCGUAGGCGAAAGGCUAGGGGUCUCCCUGGGGCAGGUUCCCGAGUACCGCGGCCCCCGUGAAAGGUCGCGGGAAGCAGGGGGGACCACCCUCCAAGGCUAAGUACUACCGGCCGACCGAUAGCGCAUAGUACCGUGAGGGAAAGGUGAAAAGAACCCCGGGAGGGGAGUGAAAGAGAACCUGAAAUCCCGAGUCCACAACCCAGUGGAAGGGGUGUGCCUCUGGCACGCCCCGACUGCGUGCCUUUUGCAGAAUGAGCCGGGGAGUUGUCCUCCGCGGCGAGGCUAAGCCGUAAGGCGAAGCCGUAGCGAAAGCGAGUCCGAAUAGGGCGCUAAGUCGCGGGGGGCAGACGCGAAGCCGGGCGAUCUACCCUUGCCCUGGGUGAAGGCCGGGUAACACCGGCUGGAGGCCCUAAGGGGUCGGUGCUGCAAAACCGUCCCGUGAGGUGAGGGUAGCGGUGAAAAGCCAAUCGCGCCCGGGGAUAGCUCGUUCUCCCCGAAAUGCAUCGAAGUGCAGCCUCGCACCAGCUGCAGCCGGAGGUAGAGCCACCGGUAGGGCUAGGGCCCCGAAAGGGGUACCGAACCCUGCCGAACUCCGAAUGCCGGCUGGCAGGGUGCGGGAGUGAGUCCUCGGAGGAUAAGCCCCGAGGACAAGAGGGGAACAACCCAGACCGCCGGCUAAGGCCCCCAAGUCCGGGCUAAGUGGUAAAGGAAGUCCCCCUCCGAAGACAGCCGGGAGGUUGGCUUAGAGGCAGCCAUCCUUUAAACAGUGCGUAACAGCUGACCGGUCGAGGAGGGGGGCGCCGAAAUAUUCUCGGGGCUCAAGCCCGGCGCCGAAGCCGCGGGUCACACAGCCCUCCGGGGCUGUGUGGCGGUAGGGGAGCGUUCCCAGCGCGCCGAAGCCCAAGCCGUGAGGCAGGGUGGAGCGCUGGGAAGUGAGAAUCCCGGCAUGAGUAGGAGCGAAGGCAGGUGAGAAACCUGCCCGCCGGAAGCCCAAGGUUUCGGCGGCAAUGAAAAUCAGCCGCCGGUUAGCCGGGACCCUAAGGCGAGGCCGAAAGGCGUAGCCGAUGGGAAGCGGGUCAACAUUCCCGCGCCAGUCGGGUGGAGACCGGGUCGUGACGCAGGAGGCUAGGCCGGGCCCGCAAUGGAUGCGGGUGCAAGGUAGUAGGGGGACGGGACAGGCAAAUCCGUCCCGUCAUACCCCGAGAGCCGAUGCCGUAAGCCGGCCGACGCCACACUGCCAAGAAACAACGGCACGGUCUGUGAGGCCCGACUGCCCGUACCGGAAACCGACACAGGUGGGCUGGGUUAGGAGCCUAAGGCGUCGGGGGAACUCCCCUCAAGGAACUCGGCAAGUUGGCCCCGUACCUUCGGAAGAAGGGGUGCCCGUGGGGGUGUAGGCCCUCGCGGCCGAAGCCCCCGCGGGUCGCAGUGACAGGGCGGUGCCGACUGUUUACCAAAAACACAGCACUCCGCAAACCCGUAAGGGGAUGUAUGGGGUGUGAAGCCUGGCCAGUGCCCGUAGGUGAACCCCCCGGGUGAUAAGCUCGGGGGUUAAGCCCGGGUAAACGCCGGCCGUAACUAUGACGGUCCUAAGGUAGCGAAAUUCCUUGUCGGGUAAGUUCCGACCUGCAUGAAUGGC
RNAcentral lists this ribosomal RNA (2046 nucleotides) under metagenome. Its description in RNAcentral is "bacterial LSU rRNA". It matches the Rfam family "Bacterial large subunit ribosomal RNA", at positions 1 to 2000 of the family's 2925-position model. The record is from RNAcentral.